GCCCUUUCCCUCAAGCGCCGGAGACCUUAUGUUACACCUGUUCCUUCGGGGACUAUGGGGAUAAACGCCCACGUAAUAAGCGGACUGGACCCGGGUGCGAUUCCCGGCGGCUCCACCAUUUCCCUCCGUUUGCGGAGCCUAUGGGGCCGAUCAGCAUCGACAGACGUGUAAAGGUGUAGCCUUCCCUCAGUUUGAGCCUCUGUGAUCGGCUCAAAAUUAUAGUUGCGAACGAUAACUUCGCUUCGGAUCAAGCUCUUGCUGCGUAAUGCGGCGGAUCUAAUCCACCUCAACUCCUAGGGCUUAAGCUCCCUAGGCGGGGCCCGGCGAGGGCCUGGCAACAGAACCUCGCCACU
Molecule: transfer-messenger RNA, 353 nt
Filed under: Asticcacaulis sp.
Lineage: Bacteria; Pseudomonadati; Pseudomonadota; Alphaproteobacteria; Caulobacterales; Caulobacteraceae
Also listed under: 1 other name
Rfam family: Alphaproteobacteria transfer-messenger RNA
About the family: Bacterial tmRNA, also known as 10Sa RNA or SsrA, is named for its dual tRNA and mRNA-like properties.
Source: RNAcentral